GAUGAACGCUGGCGGCGUGCCUAAUACAUGCAAGUCGAGCGAAAAGACGAGGAGUUUGCUCCUCUGACGUUAGCGGCGGACGGGUGAGUAACACGUGGACAACCUACCUAUAAGACUGGGAUAACUUCGGGAACCCGGAGCUAAUACAGGAUAAUAUAUUGAACCGCAUGGUUCAAUAGUGAAAGACGGCUUUGCUGUCACUUAUAGAUGGAUCCGCGCCGCAUUAGCUAGUUGGUAAGGUAACGGCUUACCAAGGCAACGAUGCGUAGCCGAUCUGAGAGGGUGAUCGGCCACACUGGAACUGAGACACGGCCCAGACUCCUACGGGAGGCAGCAGUAGGGAAUCUUCCGCAAUGGGCGAAAGCCUGACGGAGCAACGCCGCGUGAGUGAAGAAGGUCUUCGGGUCGUAAAGCUCUUUUAUUAGGAAAGAACAAAUGGGUAAUAAACUGGGCACGGCAUGACGGUACCGAAACAGAAAGCCACGGCUAACUACGUG
This 497-nucleotide ribosomal RNA is filed under the name uncultured bacterium. Its description in RNAcentral is "partial 16S ribosomal RNA". It matches the Rfam family "Bacterial small subunit ribosomal RNA", at positions 28 to 507 of the family's 1533-position model. The record is from RNAcentral.